CCACAGGCAGAUUAUGUAAAGGGCAGGUAGGGUUCAAAUUUGGAAAGACAUGUCCACGUCUGAAUCCUGCUCCACUCCUCACCAGCUGUGGUGCCUUGGAAACUGUGUGGAUCUGGCUGGGAGUCCCUAAAACGCCCCACUCCACCCUACGCCACACCACAGACAACGGAGGAAAGGGUCCAGGUGAGCUUCAGACCACGUCUGAGCCAGCCACACCCAUGGAACACAAAGAAGUCUCUCAUUACAGAAAAGGAAAUCUGACCCAGCGAUUCCCCUGCUUAAAACACCUUUCAGUGACGCGUUUGGCAGGAGGCGGUGGAGGCAGUGAGCAUUUGGAUCCAGGGAACAUUCCACGUUCUAGAACAAUCAUCUGUUUAUUGAUUGAUUUAGCAAGCAUUUAAUUACCACUUCCUGUGUGCUCCGCACAUGUUACUUCAUCUUCGCAGCAAGCUUUUAGGACCGUGUAUUUGUUCUGCUUUAUUAUGAACCACCCCAACCUUAGUGGCUUCAA
RNAcentral lists this long non-coding RNA (511 nucleotides) under Suricata suricatta (meerkat). RNAcentral describes it as "lncRNA (ENSSSUG00005011213.1)". The record is from RNAcentral. Lineage: Eukaryota; Metazoa; Chordata; Mammalia; Carnivora; Herpestidae.